AACUACUGGAAACGGUAGCUAAUACCGCAUAACGUCUUCGGACCAAAGUGGGGGACCUUCGGGCCUCACACCAUCGGAUGUGCCCAGGUGGGAUUAGCUAGUAGGUGGGGUAAUGGCUCACCUAGGCGACGAUCCCUAGCUGGUCUGAGAGGAUGACCAGCCACACUGGAACUGAGACACGGUCCAGACUCAUACGGGAGGCAGCAGUGGGGAAUAUUGCACAAUGGGCGCAAGCCUGAUGCAGCCAUGCCGCGUGUAUGAAGAAGGCCUUCGGGUUGUAAAGUACUUUCAGUGGGGAGGAAGGCAAUGAGGUUAAUAUCUUCGCUGAUUGACGUUACCCGCAGAAGAAGCACCGGCUAACUCCGUGCCAGCAGCCGCGGUAAUACGGAGGGUGCAAGCGUUAAUCGGAAUUACUGGGCGUAAAGCGCACGCAGGCGGUCUGUCAAGUCGGAUGUGAAAUCCCCGGGCUCAACCUGGGAACUGCAUUCGAAACUGGCAGACUAGA
RNAcentral lists this ribosomal RNA (505 nucleotides) under Erwinia sp. J87. Its description in RNAcentral is "bacterial SSU rRNA". It matches the Rfam family "Bacterial small subunit ribosomal RNA", at positions 145 to 645 of the family's 1533-position model. Lineage: Bacteria; Pseudomonadati; Pseudomonadota; Gammaproteobacteria; Enterobacterales; Erwiniaceae. The record is from RNAcentral.